CAGCGGAAAGUAGCUUGCUACUUUGCCGGCGAGCGGCGGACGGGUGAGUAAUGUCUGGGGAUCUGCCUGAUGGAGGGAU
RNAcentral lists this ribosomal RNA (79 nucleotides) under Chimaeribacter arupi. RNAcentral's name for it is "Yersiniaceae bacterium 2016Iso3 partial 16S ribosomal RNA". Lineage: Bacteria; Pseudomonadati; Pseudomonadota; Gammaproteobacteria; Enterobacterales; Yersiniaceae. The record is from RNAcentral.